AGUGAACGCUGGCGGUAGGCCUAACACAUGCUAGUCGAACGGCAGCACAGUAAGAGCUUGCUCUUACGGGUGGCGAGUGGCGGACGGGUGAGGAAUACAUCGGAAUCUACUUUUUCGUGGGGGAUAACGUAGGGAAACUUACGCUAAUACCGCAUACGACCUACGGGUGAAAGCAGGGGAUCUUCGGACCUUGCGCGAUUGAAUGAGCCGAUGUCGGAUUAGCUAGUUGGCGGGGUAAAGGCCCACCAAGGCGACGAUCCGUAGCUGGUCUGAGAGGAGGAUCAGCCACACUGGAACUGAGACACGGUCCAGACUCCUACGGGAGGCAGCAGUGGGGAAUAUUGGACAAUGGGCGCAAGCCUGAUCCAGCCAUACCGCGUGGGUGAAGAAGGCCUUCGGGUUGUAAUGCCCUUUUGUUGGGAAAGAAAAGCAGCAGGUUAAUACCCCGCUGUUCUGACGGUACCCAAAGAAUAAGCACCGGCUAACUUCGUG
RNAcentral lists this ribosomal RNA (492 nucleotides) under uncultured bacterium. Its description in RNAcentral is "partial 16S ribosomal RNA". It matches the Rfam family "Bacterial small subunit ribosomal RNA", at positions 29 to 507 of the family's 1533-position model. The record is from RNAcentral.